This is a long non-coding RNA of Micropterus dolomieu (smallmouth bass), 950 nucleotides long. RefSeq lists it as uncharacterized. NCBI's taxonomy places the organism in Eukaryota, Metazoa, Chordata, Actinopteri, Centrarchiformes, Centrarchidae. The transcript is spliced from 4 exons. The record is from RefSeq and is a predicted model, not a curated record.
AUCAGAGCUCCAAUAGUGGACCAUCAACCAUGGAAUGAUCCUGAGGGAAGCUGGCCAACGGGUUCAGCCUAACUUGAGCCGCUACACUGUAGCAAGCAUCAUAAGGACAUUUCGAAAUGAGAAUCGAAUUGCUAGACGUCCAGAUGCUGGGGGCAGAGGAAGAAUGUUCACUGCAGAACAAGACCCAUAUAGUCAAUAUGAAUCCGAAUGAAAAAAAUCUACAGAGUCCCUUUUGAAAGAAACAGUGAACGUGUAAAACAACUGCGAUAUGACUAUGUGCAGAGAGUGAUGGGUCAUGAGCAGCUUUCUGUGGAUGAGGCAGGUUUUAACCUCACUAAAACAAGCAGAUGUGGCAGGAACAUUAUUGGACACUGAGCCAUAAUCAAUGUCCUAGGACAACGUGGUGGUAACAUAACUAUGUGUGCAGCUAUAAGUCAAAAUGGUGUUGUUCACCAUCAUGCAACCCUAGGCCCAUAUAACACUGCACAAAUUAUUACAUUCCUGGACACCUUACAUGACAUGCUCACUAAUGUUCAGAGACCAGAGCAGACCAGAUACGUCAUCAUAUGGGACAAUGUUAGUUUCCAUAGGGCUGCUUUGGUCCGCAACUGGUUUACAGAUCACCCACUCUUCACUGUACUCAACCUCGCUCCAUACUCUCCAUUCUUGAAUCCAAUUGGAGAGUUCUUCUCUGCCUGGCACUGGAAGGUCUAUGACCGUCAUCCCCAUCAACGCAUAGCCCUUUUACAGGCAAUGGAGGAGGCAUGUGGGGAUAUUGACCAGGCAUCAUGUCAGGCCUGGGUACGGCAUUCCAGAAGAUAUUUUCCCCGGUGCCUUAGACUAGAGGACAUUGCAUGUGAUGUAGAUGAAAUUUUGUGGCCAGACCCAGAGAGACGACACGAUAUAGACUGAUUUAAAAAAAAAAUUACUAUUUUGUGUUUUGACUUGGA